CCUGAGCCAGUUCGACCAGCACCUUGAGCACCUUGUACACAACUGUGGUGCACACCUUGCAGUCUGCAUAGCUUUCGUUGAGGACUUUCUGCUAAUUUUUGUGGGGGGUCGGGUUAUUCCUGCGUUGAGUGCUUUCAUUCCCGUCGCUCGAGAUGCCCACCGAAAGUCAGCGGGCAGUGUUGCGCGACGGUUUUUCCGGCGGACCGCACGGUGUCGGUGACCCGAACGACACGCGACUUCGUAAUGUGGAGAAGGAAAUACUCAUUCCGCAGAAGAUGCGAGACAAGGCCAGGGACGAGAAAUGCAGCGAUUUAGUUGCCGAGUUUGGUGUGUGCUGCAAGAAGCAAGGACUGCUGCUGCCUUUUUUGUGUCGCAAGGAGAACAAUGCCCUCAAGGCGUGCCUUAAGAAGUGGUACGACGAUCCAGACUUCCGACAACUGUGCACGGAAGAGUACCUGGCCGACCGGAAGAGGUUCAGAGAAACUGGCGUUCGGACAAACCAGAAGCGGAAGGACAAGGUCAUCUAGACCCCGGGUCUGCCGAUGUCAUCCCAGCAGAGGGCCGUCCGCUGUCGAGACGGAAGGUCAACCUUUGGGACGUUUGAAUGAUCGUCAGUCGUGUGUGCAGCCAUGCCCAAAGUAGACUGAUUUCCAGAUGGUGUCUAGAGGGUUCCUUUGUCCAAUGCUAAUUUAAAGUGCGAUAAUGUUUCGUAGCAUCUGGAGACAAAGUAUGGUACUGUCUCUACAGGGACAUUGAUGUAGUCUGUUUUUGGUUGUUACAGGGACGCUGAAAGGAUGUUUAUGCUCGCCGAGGUUUUAGUUGUACAUGACAUGUGGGAGCCCAACUACCCAGAACACAGUUUGCGGCUCGAAAUUUUUCUUUCUGCCUGGAAAUCAUGGAUCAACAAGUGGCCAGAUUGAGUCGCGGGUUUGAAGUUCCCGCGCCAGUGCAGCGACGUCAAAUUUUGCGGUCUCGUGCGAGCCGACUUUCUUUGGCCCCUCCGCUCCCCGCUACAAAGCAAAGCCCCGUUGCCACCAGGACCCCAAGCGAGGAACGGGGGGGACGAGGGCGCCGGCGGGAACCCGUUCCUUCGUCCGGUUCCGCGACUCGCCGAUGAUCCUCUGCUCGAGCGCCGCCCAGUUUUCCGAGGGAGGACACAAAUCCAGGACGCGACAUCACAACGGACUCCAAUUUUUGGUAUUUCAAAAAGAAGGGCCAUAGUGCAUUCGCAAUUGCGUUAAAAAACAUGUUUUACGAUUGCCGUUAUUAAAUGUCAUAGAAAUGUCGCCUACAAAGCUUCUACAUUUCAUGAUUCCUGACGUCGCAAAUCAAAAGAAGCGAGGAGGCAAAAAGCGGGAGAAGAGAGCGCCACAAAUAAAAAGCCGCACGCGCGAAAAUGUUUUUCGCGAUGCGGAUUCUUUUGUGUGUCUAUGA
This 1434-nucleotide unclassified non-coding RNA is filed under the name Ixodes scapularis (black-legged tick). RNAcentral's name for it is "cOX assembly mitochondrial protein homolog, transcript variant X1". The record is from RNAcentral. Lineage: Eukaryota; Metazoa; Arthropoda; Arachnida; Ixodida; Ixodidae.